Molecule: long non-coding RNA, 648 nt
Filed under: Androctonus crassicauda
Lineage: Eukaryota; Metazoa; Arthropoda; Arachnida; Scorpiones; Buthidae
Source: RNAcentral
ACCAUAUCUACCUAUCUAUUAGGUCAAAGAACAUAGAAAUGCAGGUAAAGUCUAGAUGCCUAAAGUUUGCAUACUUGGACGCUAAACAUGCUAUGUAUGUGCUUAGGAACCGAUUAAGAUCUUUGAAGCUCUCCUUGCAACAGAAAUAUGGAAUUUAUCUGCAACAACAACUUUCGGACAACCAACUGUUGCUACACAGGUUUCGACAAGCUAUUAGAAACCACUAUGUAAAGAAGUUUAAGUGGAUUUUUGUACAAGCAACUUCUGUGUAGGCUUAAGCCAAGAUUAGCCCUUGAAGAUGUAGCUACUAUAGUUGGUGACCUUGAGGUCCCAAAGCCGGUAAAGGAUCUCUUGCUAACUGGCCCUUCGAAUGUUUUGCACCUGCCACCCAAGUUGUGUGAUCUUGCACCCAGAGCCGAUCCUAGACAGUUGGCUGCCCACAUGCAAAUUAAAAUUGGCUGCCCUUUUUUUUACAAAUCUCAUGCUUUAAAUUUCUAAAUUAAUUACUCUCAAACACUUGGAAAAAUCAUCUAAAUAUAGGUAUGGAAUGGAUGAAAAUCAAAGAGAGAAACAUGUUAAAAUAGGUGUUUUAUUGUCAAAAAAAUACAAUCUACAACUACAAUACAUAUUCGUAUAAUCAGUAAUAGG